Molecule: ribosomal RNA, 329 nt
Filed under: uncultured eukaryote
Lineage: Eukaryota
Description: partial 18S ribosomal RNA
Rfam family: Eukaryotic small subunit ribosomal RNA
Source: RNAcentral
CCCUUCGAUGUUCUGGGCCGCACGCGCGCUACACUGAUCGAGUCAACAAGUUUACAACCUUCUCCGAAAGGAGUGGGUAAUCUUUUGAAACUCGAUCGUGAUAGGGAUAGAUGAUUGCAAUUAUUUGUCUUGAACGAGGAAUGCCUAGUAGGGUUGAUUCAACAGAUCGACCCGAUUACGUCCCUGCUCUUUGUACACACCGCCCGUCGCUCCUACCGAUUGAAUGGUCCGGUGAAGCGUUCGGACCGUGGCCUUUGGACGGUUCGCCGUCUGUUGGCUGCGGGAAGUUCGUUAAACCUUAUCAUUUAGAGGAAGGAGAAGUCGUAACA